This 88-nucleotide non-coding RNA is filed under the name Schistosoma japonicum. Lineage: Eukaryota; Metazoa; Platyhelminthes; Trematoda; Strigeidida; Schistosomatidae. The record is from RNAcentral.
GGGUUAGCCCAUCUGGACCAGCUGCUCUUCAUCGUUUCAGGUUAGAUAUAGCUUUUUGAACUUCAGCUAGUGCUGGGGGGCCUACUUC